GAGGGGCAGCGCGGGUAGCAAUACCUGGCGGCGACCGGCGCAAGGGUGCGUAACGCGUGAGCAAUCUGCCCGUGUCAGGGGGAUAAGCGAUGGAAACGUCGUCUAAUACCGCAUAACAACGGCCAUGGCAUCAUGGAUGUUUGAAAGAUACGUCGGACACGGAUGAGCUCGCGAGACAUUAGCUAGUUGGCGGGGUAACGGCCCACCAAGGCUGCGAUGUCUAGGGGAACUGAGAGGUUGGUCCCCCACACUGGAACUGAGACACGGUCCAGACUCCUACGGGAGGCAGCAGUGAGGAAUAUUGGACAAUGGUCGGAAGACUGAUCCAGCCAUGCCGCGUGGAGGUUAAGGUCCUAUGGAUUGUAAACUCCUUUUGAGAGGGAGCAAUAAGUGUCACGUGUGACACGAUGAGAGUACCUUUCGAAUAAGCAUCGGCUAACUCCGUGCCAGCAGCCGCGGUAAUACGGAGGAUGCGAGCGUUAUCCGGAUUUAUUGGGUUUAAAGGGUGCGUAGGCGGUUUUGCAAGUCAGCGGUGAAACGCACGGGCUUAACCUGUGACCUGCCGUUGAAACUGCGGGACUGGAAUGCGGAUGCUGUGGGA
RNAcentral lists this ribosomal RNA (601 nucleotides) under uncultured bacterium. Its description in RNAcentral is "bacterial SSU rRNA". It matches the Rfam family "Bacterial small subunit ribosomal RNA", at positions 64 to 662 of the family's 1533-position model. The record is from RNAcentral.